RNAcentral lists this ribosomal RNA (439 nucleotides) under uncultured Cellulosimicrobium sp. RNAcentral describes it as "partial 16S ribosomal RNA". It matches the Rfam family "Bacterial small subunit ribosomal RNA", at positions 341 to 792 of the family's 1533-position model. Lineage: Bacteria; Bacillati; Actinomycetota; Actinomycetes; Micrococcales; Promicromonosporaceae. The record is from RNAcentral.
ACGGAAGGCAGCAGUGGGGAAUAUUGCACAAUGGGCGCAAGCCUGAUGCAGCGACGCCGCGUGAGGGAUGAAGGCCUUCGGGUUGUAAACCUCUUUCAGCAGGGAAGAAGCGCAAGUGACGGUACCUGCAGAAGAAGCGCCGGCUAACUACGUGCCAGCAGCCGCGGUAAUACGUAGGGCGCAAGCGUUGUCCGGAAUUAUUGGGCGUAAAGAGCUCGUAGGCGGUCUGUCGCGUCUGGUGUGAAAACUCGAGGCUCAACCUCGAGCUUGCAUCGGGUACGGGCAGACUAGAGUGCGGUAGGGGAGACUGGAAUUCCUGGUGUAGCGGUGGAAUGCGCAGAUAUCAGGAGGAACACCGAUGGCGAAGGCAGGUCUCUGGGCCGCAACUGACGCUGAGGAGCGAAAGCAUGGGGAGCGAACAGGAUUAGAUACCCUGGUA